GACGAACGCUGGCGGCGUGCCUAAUACAUGCAAGUAGAACGCUGAAGGAGGAGCUUGCUCUUCUGGAUGAGUUGCGAACGGGUGAGUAACGCGUAGGUAACCUGCCUGGUAGCGGGGGAUAACUAUUGGAAACGAUAGCUAAUACCGCAUAACAGUAGAUGUUGCAUGACAUUUGCUUAAAAGGUGCAAUUGCCCCACUACCAGAUGGACCUGCGUUGUAUUAGCUAGUUGGUGGGGUAACGGCUCACCAAGGCGACGAUACAUAGCCGACCUGAGAGGGUGAUCGGCCACACUGGGACUGAGACACGGCCCAGACUCCUACGGGAGGCAGCAGUAGGGAAUCUUCGGCAAUGGACGAAAGUCUGACCGAGCAACGCCGCGUGAGUGAAGAAGGUUUUCGGAUCGUAAAGCUCUGUUGUAAGAGAAGAACGAGUGUGAGAGUGGAAAGUUCACACUGUGACGGUAUCUUACCAGAAAGGGACGGCUAACUACGUG
This 495-nucleotide ribosomal RNA is filed under the name uncultured bacterium. RNAcentral describes it as "partial 16S ribosomal RNA". It matches the Rfam family "Bacterial small subunit ribosomal RNA", at positions 28 to 507 of the family's 1533-position model. The record is from RNAcentral.